GCGGGUGUAGCUUAAUGGUAAAGCCUUGGUCUUCCAAACCAAUGACGCGAGUUCGAUUCUCGUCACCCGCUCCA
Molecule: transfer RNA, 74 nt
Filed under: Canibacter oris
Lineage: Bacteria; Bacillati; Actinomycetota; Actinomycetes; Micrococcales; Microbacteriaceae
Also listed under: 3 other names
Description: tRNA-Gly
Rfam family: tRNA
About the family: Transfer RNA (tRNA) molecules are approximately 80 nucleotides in length. Their secondary structure includes four short double-helical elements and three loops (D, anti-codon, and T loops).
Source: RNAcentral